GUGCCAGCAGCCGCGGUAAUACGGAAGGUCCGGGCGUUAUCCGGAUUUAUUGGGUUUAAAGGGAGCGCAGGCCGGAGGGUAAGCGUGACGUGAAAUGCCGCGGCUCAACCGUGGAAGUGCGUCGCGAACUGCCUUUCUUGAGUAUGUUCGACGUAGGCGGAAUUCGUGGUGUAGCGGUGAAAUGCUUAGAUAUCACGAAGAACCCCGAUUGCGAAGGCAGCCUACGAGGCCAUUACUGACGCUAAAGCUCGAAGGUGCGGGUAUCGAACAGGAUUAGAUACCCUGGUAGUCCGCACGGUAAACGAUGGAUGCCCGCUGUUGGCGAUACAGUGUCAGCGGCCAAGCGAAAGCGUUAAGCAUCCCACCUGGGGAGUACGCCGGCAACGGUGAAACUCAAAGGAAUUGACGGGGGCCCGCACAAGCGGAGGAACAUGUGGUUUAAUUCGAUGAUACGCGAGGAACCUUACCCGGGCUUGAACUGCCAGAGAACGAUUCAGAGAUGAUGAGGCCCUUCGGGGCUCUGGUGGAGGUGCUGCAUGGUUGUCGUCAGCUCGUGCCGUGAGGUGUCGGCUUAAGUGCCAUAACGAGCGCAACCCCUGCGUGUAGUUGCCAUCAGGUGAUGCUGGGCACUCUGCACGGACUGCCACCGUAAGGUGUGAGGAAGGUGGGGAUGACGUCAAAUCAGCACGGCCCUUACGUCCGGGGCUACACACGUGUUACAAUGGGUGGUACAGAGAGUCAGCGGCCGGCAACGUCCGCUCAAUCAUGAAAGCCAUCCUCAGUUCGGAUUGGGGUCUGCAACCCGACCCCAUGAAGCUGGAUUCGCUAGUAAUCGCGCAUCAGCCAUGGCGCGGUGAAUACGUUCCCGGGCCUUGUACACACCGCCCGU
Molecule: ribosomal RNA, 889 nt
Filed under: uncultured bacterium
Lineage: Bacteria
Description: bacterial SSU rRNA
Rfam family: Bacterial small subunit ribosomal RNA
Source: RNAcentral